CUAAGUGUCAACUCUCAUAGGUAUUUUAAAUUAAAUCAUUUAUUUUUCGAGUGCUUUAUUUAUUCUGGAAUAAUACGUUGUACAUUAGUUACAGCAUAACAGAAACGGGAGCGUUCUGACAAUGACCCUACCAGUCAUAAAACUCCACACAUGCCAUAACCAAUAUCCAUGCCAGUGUCCUGUUCUCAAAUACACCGAAAGUACAAAAUAUCUAGGAGUGAUAAUAGAUCGACAGCUCACUUGGGAAAAGCACAUUGAUACACAUUACACAGUCUUCUAGGAUCAGAAAGCUUAUGCAUAUCUUUAAUCGACUGAAACGAGUAGCGGAGGACGAAGUUAUUAGAAUAAUUUUUUUUGCACUUUGUCAGUUCUUCCUAAUAUACUGUCUAUCGGGAUAAGGAGGACUAAAGUUGAGGUUCCAGAAUUAGUUCUUUGAGUGAUUUUUCAUAAAAUAUUACAAUAUGUUUUCUCAAUUACUUAAAAUAUAUAAACCAAAGAAUGA
Molecule: long non-coding RNA, 502 nt
Organism: Pieris napi
Lineage: Eukaryota; Metazoa; Arthropoda; Insecta; Lepidoptera; Pieridae
Exons: 2
Source: RefSeq, a predicted model, not a curated record